This 253-nucleotide ribosomal RNA is filed under the name uncultured bacterium. RNAcentral's name for it is "partial 16S ribosomal RNA". It matches the Rfam family "Bacterial small subunit ribosomal RNA", at positions 524 to 776 of the family's 1533-position model. The record is from RNAcentral.
UACAGAGGGUGCAAGCGUUGUUCGGAAUUAUUGGGCGUAAAGGGCGCGUAGGCGGUGCGGUAAGUCCGCAGUGAAAUCUCUGGGCUCAACUCAGAGUCUGCUGUGGAAACUGCCGUGCUCGAGUGUGGGAGAGGUGAGUGGAAUUCCUGGUGUAGCGGUGAAAUGCGCAGAUAUCAGGAGGAACACCAGUGGCGAAGGCGGUGAUCUGGGCCGAUACUGACGCUGUAGAGCGAAAGCGUGGGGAGCGAACAGG